AUACACUACAGGGAACGAAGAAAUAUACACUACAGGGAGCGAAGAAAUAUACACUAUAGGGAACGAAGAAAUAUACACUAUAGGGAAUGAAGAAAUAUACACUACCGGAAACAAAAAAAUAUACACAGCAGGGAACGAAGAAAUAUACAUUACAGGAAACAAAAAAAAUACACUACAGGGAGCGAAGAAAUAUACACUAUAAAGAACGAAGAAAUAUACACUACAGGGAGCGAAGAAAUAUACACUAUACAGAACGAAGAAAUAUACACUACAGGGAACGAAGAAAUAUACACUACAGGGCACGAAGAAAUAUACACUACAGGGAACGAAGAAAUAUACACUACAUGGAAUGAAGAAAUAUACACUACAUGGAAUGAAGAAAUAUACACUACAUGGAAUGAAUAGAUAUACACUACAUGGAAUGAAUAAAUAUACACUACAGGGAGCGAAGAAAUAUACACUACAGUGAACGAAAAAAUAUACACUACAGUGAACGAAAAAAAUACACUACAGGGAACGAAGAAAUAUACACUACAGGAAACAAAAAAUAUACACUACAUGGAAUGAAUAAAUAUACACUACAUGGAAUGAA
Piliocolobus tephrosceles (Ugandan red Colobus) is the source of this 592-nucleotide long non-coding RNA. RefSeq lists it as uncharacterized. The record is from RefSeq and is a predicted model, not a curated record. The transcript is spliced from 2 exons. Lineage: Eukaryota; Metazoa; Chordata; Mammalia; Primates; Cercopithecidae.